GUCUGGGAAGCUGCCUGAUGGAGGGGGAUAACUACUGGAAACGGUGGCUAAUACCGCAUAACGUCGCAAGACCAAAGAGGGGGACCUUCGGGCCUCUUGCCAUCAGAUGUGCCCAGAUGGGAUUAGCUUGUUGGUGAGGUAACGGCUCACCAAGGCGACGAUCCCUAGCUGGUCUGAGAGGAUGACCAGCCACACUGGAACUGAGACACGGUCCAGACUCCUACGGGAGGCAGCAGUGGGGAAUAUUGCACAAUGGGCGCAAGCCUGAUGCAGCCAUGCCGCGUGUAUGAAGAAGGCCUUCGGGUUGUAAAGUACUUUCAGCGGGGAGGAAGGUGUUGUGGUUAAUAACCGCAGCAAUUGACGUUACCCGCAGAAGAAGCACCGGCUAACUCCGUGCCAGCAGCCGCGGUAAUACGGAGGGUGCAAGCGUUAAUCGGAAUUACUGGGCGUAAAGCGCACGCAGGCGGUCUGUCAAGUCGGAUGUGAAAUCCCCGGGCUCAACCUGGGAACUGCAUUCGAAACUGGCAGGCUUGAGUCUUGUAGAGGGGGGUAGAAUUCCAGGUGUAGCGGUGAAAUGCGUAGAGAUCUGGAGGAAUACCGGUGGCGAAGGCGGCCCCCUGGACAAAGACUGACGCUCAGGUGCGAAAGCGUGGGGAGCAAACAGGAUUAGAUACCCUGGUAGUCCACGCCGUAAACGAUGUCUACUUGGAGGUUGUGCCCUUGAGGCGUGGCUUCCGGAGCUAACGCGUUAAGUAGACCGCCUGGGGAGUACGGCCGCAAGGUUAAAACUCAAAUGAAUUGACGGGGGCCCGCACAAGCGGUGGAGCAUGUGGUUUAAUUCGAUGCAACGCGAAGAACCUUACCUGGUCUUGACAUCCACAGAACUUUCCAGAGAUGGAUUGGUGCCUUCGGGAACUGUGAGACAGGUGCUGCAUGGCUGUCGUCAGCUCGUGUUGUGAAAUGUUGGGUUAAGUCCCGCAACGAGCGCAACCCUUAUCCUUUGUUGCCAGCGAUUAGGUCGGGAACUCAAAGGAGACUGCCAGUGAUAAACUGGAGGAAGGUGGGGAUGACGUCAAGUCAUCAUGGCCCUUACGACCAGGGCUACACACGUGCUACAAUGGCGCAUACAAAGAGAAGCGACCUCGCGAGAGCAAGCGGACCUCAUAAAGUGCGUCGUAGUCCGGAUUGGAGUCUGCAACUCGACUCCAUGAAGUCGGAAUCGCUAGUAAUCGUGGAUCAGAAUGCCACGGUGAAUACGUUCCCGGGCCUUGUACACACCGCCCGUCACACCAUGGGAGUGGGUUGCAAAAGAAGUAGGUAGCUUAACCUUCGGGAGGGCGCUUACCACUUUGUGAUUCAUGACUGGGGUGAAGUCGUAACAAGGUAACCGUAGGGGAACCUGCGGUUGGAUCACCUCCUUACCUUAAAGAA
This 1431-nucleotide ribosomal RNA is filed under the name Salmonella enterica subsp. enterica serovar Napoli. RNAcentral describes it as "bacterial SSU rRNA". It matches the Rfam family "Bacterial small subunit ribosomal RNA". Lineage: Bacteria; Pseudomonadati; Pseudomonadota; Gammaproteobacteria; Enterobacterales; Enterobacteriaceae. The record is from RNAcentral.